CCGGACCGGCGCACGGGUGAGUAACGCGUAUGCAACCUGCCCGUUUCAGCGGGAUAACCCGGAGAAAUCCGGCCUAAUACCGCAUGUGGCCGAGGGGAGGCAUCUUCUUUCGGCCAAAGGAGGCGACUCCGGAGACGGAUGGGCAUGCGUGACAUUAGCUAGUUGGCGGGGUAACGGCCCACCAAGGCGACGAUGUCUAGGGGUUCUGAGAGGAAGGUCCCCCACACUGGUACUGAGACACGGACCAGACUCCUACGGAAGGCAGCAG
Molecule: ribosomal RNA, 268 nt
Filed under: uncultured bacterium
Lineage: Bacteria
Description: partial 16S ribosomal RNA
Rfam family: Bacterial small subunit ribosomal RNA
Source: RNAcentral